CAAAAUGUAGUUUAACAAAAACAUUUCGCUUACACCGAAAAAAUAUCUGAUAAAAUCGGCCAUUUUGA
Molecule: transfer RNA, 68 nt
Filed under: Herpele squalostoma
Lineage: Eukaryota; Metazoa; Chordata; Amphibia; Gymnophiona; Herpelidae
Description: tRNA-Val
Rfam family: tRNA
About the family: Transfer RNA (tRNA) molecules are approximately 80 nucleotides in length. Their secondary structure includes four short double-helical elements and three loops (D, anti-codon, and T loops).
Source: RNAcentral